CUUUGAGCUUCCACUACUACCUCUUAUAUAUUAUGUAUCUUUCUAGCUACCUCUCAUAAGAGGAAUUCUAAUUCAUUCAUUUAGGUUUACAAUAAUCAGUCCUCAUUUUUCUCUCUCACCCAUUUUUUCCUCCUUUCUCCUUAGCAAGUAUAGUACAAAGCUCCAUGUCUGUCUCAACUAUUCCAGCACCAAAAUUAGGGGAGAGAUUGUGUGAAAAUGGAUUUGAACAUCCCAAAAUUCUUCCUGCCAUUGAUGAUGCCCAUGGAGGAGUUAUUGUUGACUUGAAUGAGCCUAUGGACCCACAACAUUUUGCUACAUUGCUUAGGUCUUCACUUCUACAUUGGAACCUUAAGGGAAAACAUGGUGUUUGGAUAAAGUUACCUAUCAAU
Long non-coding RNA from Arachis duranensis, 389 nucleotides. RefSeq lists it as uncharacterized. NCBI's taxonomy places the organism in Eukaryota, Viridiplantae, Streptophyta, Magnoliopsida, Fabales, Fabaceae. The transcript has 3 exons. The record is from RefSeq and is a predicted model, not a curated record.